RNAcentral lists this transfer RNA (70 nucleotides) under Acropyga arnoldi. Its description in RNAcentral is "tRNA-Val". The record is from RNAcentral. Lineage: Eukaryota; Metazoa; Arthropoda; Insecta; Hymenoptera; Formicidae.
AAGAUUUUAGUUUAAGAUUAAAAUAAUUCAUUUACAUUGGAUAGAUUAAUUAAAAAAUAUUAAAAUUUUA